CUGAAUAACUACGCAGAUGGCAUGGUCUCGCACCGGCCACAUAUCCUUCAAGUGUCUGCCUUAUCAACUGUCGAAGGUAGUUUAUACGACUACCUUGGUGGUAACGGGUAACGGAGAAUUUGGGUUCGAUUCCGGAGAGGGAGCCUGAGAAACGGUUACCACAUCCAAGGAAGGCAGCAGGCGCGCAAAUUACCCACUCUCAGCUCGAGGAGGUAGUGACGAAAAAUAACGAGACAGUUCUCUAUGAGGUCUGUCAUCGGAAUGGGUACAAUCUAAACCCUUUAACGAGGAUCAAUUGGAGGGCAAGUCUGGUGCCAGCAGCCGCGGUAAUUCCAGCUCCAAUAGCGUAUAUUAAAGUUGUUGCGGUUAAAAAG
Molecule: ribosomal RNA, 374 nt
Filed under: Nematoda sp.
Lineage: Eukaryota; Metazoa; Nematoda
Description: SSU rRNA
Rfam family: Eukaryotic small subunit ribosomal RNA
Source: RNAcentral